CCUACGGGAGGCAGCAGUGGGGAAUUUUGGACAAUGGGCGCAAGCCUGAUCCAGCAAUGCCGCGUGAGUGAAGAAGGCCUUCGGGUUGUAAAGCUCUUUUGUCAGGGAAGAAACGGUUGUUCCUAAUACGGAUGGCUAAUGACGGUACCUGAAGAAUAAGCACCGGCUAACUACGUGCCAGCAGCCGCGGUAAUACGUAGGGUGCAAGCGUUAAUCGGAAAUUACUGGGCGUAAAGCGUGCGCAGGCGGUUAUAUAAGUCAGAUGUGAAAUCCCCGGGCUCAACCUGGGAACUGCAUUUGAGACUGUAUGGCUAGAGUGUGUCAGAGGGGGGUAGAAUUCCACGUGUAGCAGUGAAAUGCGUAGAUAUGUGGAGGAAUACCGAUGGCGAAGGCAGCCCCCUGGGAUAACACUGACGCUCAUGCACGAAAGCGUGGGGAGCAAACAGGAUUAGAUACCCUGGUAGUCCACGCCCUAAACGAUGUCUACUAGUUGUCGGGACUUAAUUGUCUUGGUAACGCAGCUAACGCGUGAAGUAGACCGCCUGGGGAGUACGGUCGCAAGNUUAAAACCGNGAAAGAUUGACGGCNGAGACGAGACGACGGACGACGACGAGGGGAGGAGG
RNAcentral lists this ribosomal RNA (623 nucleotides) under uncultured bacterium. RNAcentral describes it as "bacterial SSU rRNA". It matches the Rfam family "Bacterial small subunit ribosomal RNA", at positions 338 to 959 of the family's 1533-position model. The record is from RNAcentral.